This 1197-nucleotide long non-coding RNA is filed under the name Equus asinus (donkey). RNAcentral describes it as "lncRNA (ENSEASG00005028152.1)". Lineage: Eukaryota; Metazoa; Chordata; Mammalia; Perissodactyla; Equidae. The record is from RNAcentral.
AGUAACUGUGGAGAUGCUGUAGCAGCAGCUGACGAUGCGGAGGGCUCGCUGGGCGCCAGGCUGCUUAUUGGUCGGAAUAUCCUGUAGACGAGGAAACUGAGGCUCUGAGAGUUUCCCACCGCCAACGACAGGGAUUUGAAGCCCGAGGCUGCUCCCCGUUCCCACCCAAACCAGACGGCAGGUGUAAGGGCCGUGGUGGAGGCUGGUGAGGGUGCCACUUGCUUCUCCUUGACCUCGGGGAAGAUGAAGUCGUGAGUCAGGAGGGAGGCAGCUGGCCGGCUCCUGUGAUGUCAGAGCGGAUGGUCGUUGCCUUGGGGUUCGGUCUCACGCUCCGGAAGAACCUGGUUUCAUGGAGAGAGAGUCCCCGUCUCUCAAGGGUUCUGUACUCAGGUUAGCUAACCUGAUGGUGACUGUGACUUCAGAAUUGAGCCAGGCUCUGAGCACUUCUUACCACGCCCACCUCUGCCCCCAUCUGGUCCAGCACCCCCGCCUCUCACCUGGGUUGUGGCAGCAGGCUUCCUGCUUGGCCUAUGGCUUCAGCCUCACCUUCUCAUUAAAAAGGAAAUGAGGUCAAGUCCAGUGACCUCACGCUGGGUCGCACACAUCUUCUGGCUGCUUUGCAGCCCCUCUUACUAUCUCUGCUGUGACACACAUAUUUGUGAAGAACCCUGAGGUUCUCAGCAGCUUUCCUCAUAGGCACAUGGACAUUUCAUGGGACCCUGGAAAGAUCACACAGUGAGGAAGACAAUCAUUCUCAUCCGGCCUGUGCACCUGCUGCAGUACGGUCACCUGGUCUGGCUCCAUCGAAGCAGAAGGAAAGGAAGAUUUCACUCUGAGAGGGAACAUAAGAGUCCGGGUGUCGUGUGAGCUGAAGCGUGGGGACCACAGCUUGAUAUUAGUCUUUCCAUUAUUUUGAGUUUCUACAAGUGCUUCCUAUAAAAUUUAUCUGUUUUGAAGCCAGAGGGAUUAAUAGUUUCUCAAUGAUAAAAGGCUAUCUUGUGAAGACAACAAUGCGUAUAUUAUUUGAAGUUAUUAUAUGCCAUUUGAUAGUGGUUCUUUUUUGACUCCUGUAUAAACCUUUUGGAGGAGAGAUCUCAAAGAUACAUAUAUAUAUAUAAAUCAUAUAUAUAUAUAAGUAUAUAUCUUUUGCAUAUACAUAAGUAUAUAUAUUAUUGCAAAUCCUGUUAAAAAUGUUUC